UACAGAGGGGGCAAGCGUUGUUCGGAAUUACUGGGCGUAAAGGGCGCGUAGGCGGCCUUCUAAGUCAGACGUGAAAUCCCUCGGCUCAACCGGGGAACUGCGUCUGAGACUGGAAGGCUUGAAUCCGGGAGAGGGAUGUGGAAUUCCAGGUGUAGCGGUGAAAUGCGUAGAUAUCGGGAGGAACAUCAGUUGCGAAGGCGGCUCUCUGGACCAGUACUGACGCUGAGGCACGAAAGCGUGGGGAGCAAACAGG
Molecule: ribosomal RNA, 253 nt
Filed under: uncultured bacterium
Lineage: Bacteria
Description: partial 16S ribosomal RNA
Rfam family: Bacterial small subunit ribosomal RNA
Source: RNAcentral